RNAcentral lists this ribosomal RNA (629 nucleotides) under uncultured fungus. Its description in RNAcentral is "eukaryotic LSU rRNA". It matches the Rfam family "Eukaryotic large subunit ribosomal RNA", at positions 23 to 664 of the family's 3401-position model. The record is from RNAcentral. Lineage: Eukaryota; Fungi.
ACCCGCUGAACUUAAGCAUAUCAAUAAGCGGAGGAAAAGAAACCAACAGGGAUUACCCUAGUAACGGCGAGUGAAGCGGUAACAGCUCAAAUUUGAAAUCUGACCUCUACGGGUCCGAGUUGUAAUUUGUAGAGGAUGUUUCGGGCAAGGCUUUGGUGUAAGUUUCUUGGAACAGAACGUCAUAGACGGUGAGAGUCCCGUCUAGCACCGGCCGCCGCGUCCAUGUGAAACUCCUUCGACGAGUCGAGUUGUUUGGGAAUGCAGCUCAAAAUGGGUGGUAAAUUUCAUCUAAAGCUAAAUAUUGGCCAGAGACCGAUAGCGCACAAGUAGAGUGAUCGAAAGAUGAAAAGCACUUUGAAAAGAGAGUUAAACAGUAUGUGAAAUUGUUGAAAGGGAAGCGCUUGCAACCAGACUUGCGUGCAACAGCUCCCCCAGUCUUCUGACUGGGCUAUUCUGUUGUAUCCAGGCCAGCAUCGGUUCGGGUGGUUGGUUAAAGACUUUGGGAAUGUACCUGAUCCUUCGGGGCCAGACUUAUAGCUCAGAGUGUAAUGCAGCCUACCCGGACCGAGGAACGCGCUUCGGCUCGGAUGCUGGCGUAAUGGUUGUAAGCGGCCCGUCUUGAAACACGG